RNAcentral lists this ribosomal RNA (368 nucleotides) under uncultured organism. Its description in RNAcentral is "bacterial SSU rRNA". It matches the Rfam family "Bacterial small subunit ribosomal RNA", at positions 526 to 896 of the family's 1533-position model. The record is from RNAcentral.
CGGAGGGUCCAAGCGUUAUCCGGAUUUAUUGGGUUUAAAGGGUGCGUAGGUGGCUUUUUAAGUCAGGGGUGAAAGACGGUAGCUUAACUAUCGCAGUGCCUUUGAUACUGAAGAGCUUGAAUGAACUAGAGGUAGGCGGAAUGUGACAAGUAGCGGUGAAAUGCAUAGAUAUGUCACAGAACACCAAUUGCGAAGGCAGCUUACUAUGGUUAGAUUGACACUGAGGCACGAAAGCGUGGGGAUCAAACAGGAUUAGAUACCCUGGUAGUCCACGCCCUAAACGAUGAAUACUCGAUGUUGGCGAUAUACGGUCAGCGUCUAAGCGAAAGCGUUAAGUAUUCCACCUGGGGAGUACGCCCGCAAGGGUG